AAAGGUCCCAUGUGAACAGCAGUUGAACAAGGGUCAGUCGGUCCUGAGAGAUGGGUGAGCACCCUUCCAAAGAGACAGGAGAUGGCCUCGUUGCCUUCCACCAAUUAAAAGGGAGUCGGGUUCAGAUCCUGGAAUCUGGAGUGGCAGAGAUGGGCACUGUGAGGUGUCCAGUAUGGUAAUUGUGCUUGAUCCCAGAGAAGUGGGCAGGAACCCCAGAGAGAGUUCUCUUUUCUUUGUGAAUGGCAGGGCUGCCCUGGAAUAGAUUGACCCCGAGAGAGGGAACCAUGCCUUGGAAAGUAUUGCAGUUCUGGCAGUGUCUAGUGACAAAAAAUAAUAAUAAUAAUAAUAAUAAAAAUAAAUGAAUAAAUAAAUUAAUU
Molecule: ribosomal RNA, 377 nt
Filed under: Marmota monax (woodchuck)
Lineage: Eukaryota; Metazoa; Chordata; Mammalia; Rodentia; Sciuridae
Description: LSU_rRNA_eukarya
Rfam family: Eukaryotic large subunit ribosomal RNA
Source: RNAcentral